GAGAAUGUAGCUCAGUUGGUAGAGUGCUUGUGUCCCAUGCAUGAAGCCCUGGGUUCAAUCCCUGGCACCUCA
This 72-nucleotide transfer RNA is filed under the name Mesocricetus auratus (golden hamster). It matches the Rfam family "tRNA". From Rfam's summary of the family: Transfer RNA (tRNA) molecules are approximately 80 nucleotides in length. Their secondary structure includes four short double-helical elements and three loops (D, anti-codon, and T loops). Lineage: Eukaryota; Metazoa; Chordata; Mammalia; Rodentia; Cricetidae. The record is from Rfam by way of RNAcentral.